CUAUCCCCAUUCUAUCCCCAUUCUAUCCCCAUUCUAUCCCCAUUCUAUCCCCAUUCUAUCCCCAUACUGUCCCCAUACUGUCCCCAUUCUAUCCCCAUUCUGUCCCCAUAUUGUCCCCAUAUUGUCCCCAUUCUAUCCCCAUUCUAUCCCCAUUCUAUCCCCAUACUGUCCCCAUUGCAGACCCACUCACUGCUCAUUCCCCGCAGUCAGAACAGCCGCCCCAUCACCGUGGCCGUCUCGGUCCCCGUGGAGGCGCACGCGGAGCUGGAGCUGCGGGGCAUGUCGCUGCCCGCCACCGCGCUGCUGCCCACCGAAUGGAGCCAGGAUGGGGACGACAACCAGACGGAGCAUCGCGGGGUGCGGGUGGAGCACGUCUACCAGCUGCACAAUAAGGGACCGGGCACCGUCACCAACGUCACCAUGAACAUCCGCGUCCCUGUCGUUGUCGGUGGCCGCGUGUGGAUCCACGUGGUGGAGAUCGGAACCGAGGGAGGGAUCGAGUGUGGGACGAACCCGGAACCGGACAAUCACUGUGGCAAUACCAGCUGCGUGGCGGUGCGGUGCCAUGCGGGGAUCAUGGCGCAGGGACAGCGCGUGUUGGUGGCCGUCCAUGUGCUGCUCCGGAUGGACCCCGAGCGGCAGGUAACGGCACCGCGGGGACACGGGGACACCAUGGGGUCACCACCAGCCCCAUAGUGUCCCCUUGGUGUCAUUCUGUGUCCCCAUCA
RNAcentral lists this long non-coding RNA (728 nucleotides) under Coturnix japonica (Japanese quail). RNAcentral's name for it is "lncRNA (ENSCJPG00005019111.1)". The record is from RNAcentral. Lineage: Eukaryota; Metazoa; Chordata; Aves; Galliformes; Phasianidae.